GACCUGCCUCGAGGAGGGGGAUAACAGCGGGAAACUGCUGCUAAUACCCCAUAUGCCGAAAGGUGAAAAGAAAUUUGCCUUGAGAGGGGCUCGCGUCCGAUUAGCUAGUUGGUGAGGUAAGAGCUUACCAAGGCGACGAUCGGUAGCUGGUCUGAGAGGAUGAGCAGCCACACUGGGACUGAGACACGGCCCAGACUCCUACGGGAGGCAGCAGUGGGGAAUUUUCCGCAAUGGGCGAAAGCCUGACGGAGCAACGCCGCGUGGGGGAAGAAGGCCUUUGGGUUGUAAACUCCUUUUCUCAGGGAAGAAGAACUGACGGUACCUGAGGAAUCAGCCUCGGCUAACUCCGUGCCAGCAGCCGCGGUAAUACGGAGGAGGCAAGCGUUAUCCGGAAUUAUUGGGCGUAAAGCGUUCGUAGGCGGCGUUUCAAGUCUGCUGUCAAAGGCCGAGGCUCAACUUCGGAAAGGCAGUGGAAACUGAAAAGCUAGAGGUCGGUAGGGGCAGAGGGAAUUCCCAGUGUAGCGGUGAAAUGCGUAGAUAUUGGGAAGAACACCGGUGGCGAAAGCGCUCUGCUGGGCCGAACCUGACGCUGACGGACGAAAGUAGGGGCUCC
RNAcentral lists this ribosomal RNA (613 nucleotides) under Geitlerinema sp. CIBNOR 34. RNAcentral describes it as "bacterial SSU rRNA". It matches the Rfam family "Bacterial small subunit ribosomal RNA", at positions 123 to 769 of the family's 1533-position model. Lineage: Bacteria; Bacillati; Cyanobacteriota; Cyanophyceae; Geitlerinematales; Geitlerinemataceae. The record is from RNAcentral.